RNAcentral lists this ribosomal RNA (497 nucleotides) under uncultured bacterium. RNAcentral's name for it is "partial 16S ribosomal RNA". It matches the Rfam family "Bacterial small subunit ribosomal RNA", at positions 28 to 507 of the family's 1533-position model. The record is from RNAcentral.
GACGAACGCUGGCGGCGUGCCUAAUACAUGCAAGUUGAGCGCUGAAGGUUGGUACUUGUACCAACUGGAUGAGCAGCGAACGGGUGAGUAACGCGUGGGGAAUCUGCCUUUGAGCGGGGGACAACAUUUGGAAACGAAUGCUAAUACCGCAUAAAAACUUUAAACACAAGUUUUAAGUUUGAAAGAUGCAAUUGCAUCACUCAAAGAUGAUCCCGCGUUGUAUUAGCUAGUUGGUGAGGUAAAGGCUCACCAAGGCGAUGAUACAUAGCCGACCUGAGAGGGUGAUCGGCCACAUUGGGACUGAGACACGGCCCAAACCCCUACGGGAGGCAGCAGUAGGGAAUCUUCGGCAAUAGACGAAAGUCUGACCGAGCAACGCCGCGUGAGUGAAGAAGGUUUUCGGAUCGUAAAACUCUGUUGGUAGAGAAGAACGUUGGUGAGAGUGGAAAGCUCAUCAAGUGACGGUAACUACCCAGAAAGGGACGGCUAACUACGUG